CCUAUUGUUAGUUGCCAUCACAUAACCGUGAGGGUUGGGGUUAAGUCCCGCAACGAGCGCAACCCUAUUGUUAGUUCCAUCACAUAAUGGUGGGCACUCUAAUGAGACUGCCCGGGUCAACCGGGAGGAAGGUGGGGACGACGUCAAGUCAUCAUGGCCCUUACGCCUAGGGCUACACACGUACUACAAUGGUGCAUACAAAGGGUUGCGAAACCGCGAGGUCAAGCCAAUCCCAAAAAAUGCAUCCCAGUCCGGAUCGGGGUCUGCAACUCGACUCCGUGAAGUUGGAAUCGCUAUUAAUCCCGGAUCAGCAUGCCGGGGUGAAUACGUUCCCGGGCCUUGUACACACCGCCCGUCACACCACGGAAAGCUGGUUCUACCCGACAACGGAGGACUAACCCUUCGGGAGGUAGUCGUCUACGGUAGGGCUGGUGAUUGGGGUGAAGUCGUAACAAGGUACCA
RNAcentral lists this ribosomal RNA (462 nucleotides) under uncultured delta proteobacterium. RNAcentral's name for it is "bacterial SSU rRNA". It matches the Rfam family "Bacterial small subunit ribosomal RNA", at positions 1041 to 1501 of the family's 1533-position model. The record is from RNAcentral. Lineage: Bacteria; Deltaproteobacteria.